CCCACCCGGAUUGUGGAUGGUCACCCCGCCUUCACGGUUCGUCGGAUAGUGGCUUCCAGACGCCGUGGUCGUGGCUUCCAGUAUCUGGUGGAUUGGGCAGGGUACGGUCCUGAGGAACGAUCCUGGGUGCCUCGUUCAUUAAUUUUAGACCCAGACCUCAUCUCAGCCUUCGAGGCCUCCUCCACUGGACGGCCGCCAGGGGGCGUCCGUUAAAGGGGGGGUGCUGUCACACUCCAGGCCUGGGUGCAGGGCCGGGUUUUCUCUCUCUCUCUUCUCUGCAGGGUGUGACGGGCAGGUGCUUCUCAUCACAACUAAUUGGAGCCCUUCUUAAGGAGCAGAGGCCAGGAGGAGGGCGUCAGUUCUUUCUCGCUUCCAGCGUGAACCUUUCGCCUACGCCACAGAUACCUCAAGCCUGGAACCCUAGGGCAACUGAACGUUCCCUGAUCGUCUGCCAGUGCAAGCCCUCCUCCUAGAGCUCACCUGCCUGUCCACCCUCAAGCCAUCUGCACAAGAGAGCAUCUCAGGAUUUUCACCCGGACCCAGGACAUCACCCCUCCUGGUCCUUGGCAAGCCUCCGACUCAACCAGAAGACUAUCAAACCGGACACCACCAACACCUGAGACCCUGCACUCUAAACAAUAACCAGAUCAAUAAACCAGAUUCAACUAAA
This is a long non-coding RNA of Fundulus heteroclitus (mummichog), 670 nucleotides long. RefSeq lists it as uncharacterized. The transcript has 2 exons. The record is from RefSeq and is a predicted model, not a curated record. Lineage: Eukaryota; Metazoa; Chordata; Actinopteri; Cyprinodontiformes; Fundulidae.